GACGAACGCUGGCGGCGUGCCUAAUACAUGCAAGUAGAACGCUGAAGAGAGGAGCUUGCUCUUCUUGGAUGAGUUGCGAACGGGUGAGUAACGCGUAGGUAACCUGCCUUGUAGCGGGGGAUAACUAUUGGAAACGAUAGCUAAUACCGCAUAACAAUGGAUGACUCAUGUCAUUUAUUUGAAAGGGGCAAAUGCUCCACUACAAGAUGGACCUGCGUUGUAUUAGCUAGUAGGUGAGGUAACGGCUCACCUAGGCGACGAUACAUAGCCGACCUGAGAGGGUGAUCGGUCACACUGGGACUGAGACACGGCCCAGACUCCUACGGGAGGCAGCAGUAGGGAAUCUUCGGCAAUGGGGGCAACCCUGACCGAGCAACGCCGCGUGAGUGAAGAAGGUUUUCGGAUCGUAAAGCUCUGUUGUAAGUCAAGAACGAGUGUGAGAGUGGAAAGUUCACACUGUGACGG
Molecule: ribosomal RNA, 465 nt
Filed under: Streptococcus salivarius
Lineage: Bacteria; Bacillati; Bacillota; Bacilli; Lactobacillales; Streptococcaceae
Description: bacterial SSU rRNA
Rfam family: Bacterial small subunit ribosomal RNA
Source: RNAcentral